Molecule: long non-coding RNA, 10028 nt
Organism: Bactrocera dorsalis (oriental fruit fly)
Lineage: Eukaryota; Metazoa; Arthropoda; Insecta; Diptera; Tephritidae
Exons: 3
Source: RefSeq, a predicted model, not a curated record
AUGAUCAAUUUGAAAGAUGAAUUUUUAAUUUAUACUUCGGGUGUUUUUCGUAUCGGUAAAAUUUUUUCUGUAAGUUGGUAGUACUGUUAGUGACAUCUAUGCUAAAUUUCUCGUCAAAAUAUUCAUUAGUAUUUGAGAUACGCGUCGUUUUGUGAGGCUCUAUACAUAUGUGAAUUCUUCGAUUUUUACUAUGUCUGAAUUUAUUGAACAAAGAAGUGCGAUUAUGCACCAUCUCAUACUGCAUUGGAUAUUCGUGAAUAUUUCGCCACAUUUUCAGUUAAUAUCGCCUGAUUUACCUCCGUGUAACCUCUGGCUAUUCAGCAAAUUCACAUGACCACUCCGAGGACAUUGUUUUGACUCAAUUGAAGAUAUAAAAGCUGAAUGGAAGAAGGUUCUGAUGGCCAUCACGACGGAGGAUUUUUCCAAGUGCUAUGAUGACUGGAAAAUUUGUUGGCAUAAGUGUAUUGCAGCGGGGGGGAUUAAUUUGAAGGAGAUGAAAUGGACAAAAUUCACCUUUUAAUUUGAUCACAGUAGUAUUUAAAACAUUAAAAUGGAGGCGUCCUUUAAUAAGAGUGACGGAACAAUUACAUUUUUAAUUAUAAUUAAUUUUUAAUUACAAACAGUACAAAACUUAAAAAAAGUGGGGGCUACGCCUCAGAGUUUGCAUAAUUUUUAUACUCUAACUAGCUGUCCCCGUAGGCGCUGUUCUGCGAGAAAUUAUGUGUUUUGAAAUGAAAAGAAAGGUGAACUUACAUUGUGGUAAAAAUCAUUUAUUUUCGAUUUUUUCGAAACAACAUAUUUUGGUUUCUGUCCCAGUGCGUAAAUGUACAGAGAAGAUGGUUUUCCAACUCAAGAACACGCCACGUAUAACCGGCCGUGUGAAAAGCAUAGCGUUUCCAGAUUUAUGCCACACUUCUAGCGACUAUCCUUGUGUCCUGUUGAUUGCUUUCGCAAAUGCAAUUUUCAAUUGAAUACGUUCGAACUGAAAUGGCAAAUCGUUGGAACUCAAAGGAAUUCGUAGAAUCAAGCGUUCUGCCCCUUGUAUUUGAUAGCUGCGGCACUAUCCGUAGGGUUCUAUUACAAAAUUUCGGCGCAUGAAGAUUGCGAAACAUAAUAAUGUCAGAUCCAAGUUUGAGACGCAAAUAAUUCGGCGGCAUACCAAGCCUCUCCAAAGAUUUUAGAUAUUCUACUGGACAAUUCACGGUUUCAUUUUUUUGGCAGCUAAAAUUGAGCAACACUCAAGUAAUCGUAGUUACGCUAAUUUGGCCAAUGUUCGGAUAAAGAUUCGUGAUGAGUUUAUACAAGUAUUUCGUUGAAGUGAAUUAACAAAAGGCAGAUAGAAUUGAUAACAAACCACUGGAAGUAUCAACCGGAAUUAGCCAAUUUCCAAUUCUUAUCGAAAACGAUGUAAAAUGUUUUCGGCAAUGUAAUUCUUGUUCGUAUCCCAUAAUUGGCGUGAAUUCGAAGGCUGAUAUGUCGAAAUGAUCAUUGCGAACUUCAGUGGCAUGCGAAGUAGCUAUCGAAUCCUCCAUCGUUUGACUCCAUUGAUUAUCAUGUUCCAGCAAUUGGAAUUGCUGGCUUCCUUCUCAAAAAGUUACACACACCGUACCAUUCACAGUACGAAAUGACUCAAAUGAAAUUGAACCAUGUACAUUUAUCAAUAGCAACCGAAAGUAGAAGCAAUCCUCGUUUUUCGGGUAGAUUGUGUACAUUCGUCCUAAUGCAUUAGUUGAGAACAGAUGGAUGUCCAUCUAUUGGUUGAUCUUGCUUUCUGCAUAACUAUUUCUUCGACGAUGCAGUCCAUGUAUAAUAUCAAGGCAAGACGCAUGUUGAGAAAAAACUCGUCAAGAGCUAUUUUGUUGCUAGCGGUGUUUCCACUGGCUCUAAUUUAUUCCCUGGGUUGAAAUACACUCUUUGGUCAUUCUCCCAAUGAGCAGCGAGACGCAUAACAGUAGGAAAACGUUCAUGAAUUGCAAAAGUAAAUAUCCUACAAAGCGUUUUAUUGCAGUUAACGUAUCGACCCAUUUGAUACUUGCUGAUCUCAUCUCAUCCAAAGAAGAAGCUGUGAUAUCGUGACGAUCGCUUGCUGAUUGACCGCGAUCCGUAAUUCUAGACGUAUGUCAUCGCAUCCUGGGAGUACUCGUUCAUGUGUCCUGGGCUGUCAUACGUUGGUUGCUAAAAGAAAGCCGACCGAUAUUAGCGCGACCUCUUCGUGGCAUCGUGACAAAUUUCAAUCUGUAAUUGAUCACUUUGUGGGAAAUACACAUAAAGUUUUCACUGAAUAAUUUUCAAUAUCCCCGAUCCACAACGAACAACGCCUGAAAAUUUCAUCAAGAUUGGUGUAGCCGUUUUCAAGCCUUAGCCUUAGCUUACUAACAAACAAGCAUUCAAGAACAGGGCUGUUUGUUGAGUUAUGCGCUUAGCAACACAUUUUGCGAUUAAUAUUUAUAUAAUAGAAGAUAUACUGUAAUAUGUCGCUACAGAGUAUAUUAAUUAGGUCAACAAUAACGAUCGUUUGUAUCACCCAAAAGUAGUCGAGAUAUAUAGAUACUUAUAUGUACAUAUACGGUACACUUAUCUAAAUGACAGGAUGACCAUAGAAGUUGAAAUCCGGAUAACUGUCUGUCCGUCCGUGCAAGCAUGAGUAAAGACUAAAAUAUCUUAAUGAAUCUUGGGACACUUGUAUCUUGGCAUCAUAAAAAGUUCGGUAUGGGCGGAAUGCGACCACGAAACGCCAUUAAUCUAUAAAGUGCGGCAACUGAAAAGUAAAAAAAAUAACCUACACAACUGUAAUUGGUGCAACAGAUCGUAAGAGGGAGUGGGUAUAGGCUUCAUGUAUAUAUUUCUCAAACCCAUCAAAUUAUAUCAAUCAAAUUUUCUUAGGAAACAUCUUUUCAACACCUCCUACGAUAGUGUAAGAAUAGAUGAAGUCGGGUGGUAACCUUAUCAUGGUUUUGUUGAAAACUACUAAAAGUGCGAUACCUCACUAACUAAACCAGUCCCAGAUAUAAAUUCCACAGAUAAAAUGGUAAGAAAAGGCUUUGUAUGAGCCGGUGUAAAUAUUGGCCCCCUCCUAUAUCUCAAGAGCUAAUUAACAACUCUACCAGUUACAUUACGAAGAUUCUAUCUGAUUCUGUCACUUUACAGUAUAUAAAUCAAGUGUUAAGGAAAAUAUCGUAAUAAAACUUUGAACAAAGAGUUUCUUAAGAGCAUGGUAUCUUACGUAUAAAAAUUGUCGAAAUCGGACAAUAAAUUGCCAAGUCCCCAGAUACAGUAUAUGUAGACUUCGGUGCCUGUAACUGCUCUUGUAAAAAUGGGUCAAAAUAUAACCUAGCUCUCAUAUACUUAAUAAUAGAAUUUCAGCAUCCGGUUGGCUCUACACCUUUGGCAAUACGAGAACCAAUAAUUUUGGAUAUAAUCUAUAAUAUUGAAGCAUAUGAACGAACCUAUUUACUGUCAGUUGGACUUUUUAAUAUAUCGGCACAGUCGCGCUGAUUUUAACCCCGCAUCUCGACAGGCUAAGGUUUAUGGCAUACCAACUGUCAAAUCUAUUGUCAUUGCCAAAUUUGCAUGUGAACGAACAUUUGUUAUCAUGACAUGAUCAUUUGCGAAAAGGGUAGGUGGGUUCGAGCUGAUGUAGGGCAUGUUUUGAGCUCUUGAAGUGUUUCGAUUUUUAUAUGGAUAAAAAAAAUGUAUAUGGAAAAUAAAAAAAGGAGAAAUAUACUUUUUUCUACAAAUCUACUUCUUGAAAAAAAAUCAUAUUUUCGGACUAUAAUACUUGUAGCAUAAAUUUUAUAUACCAAUUAAAAUAAUAAAUUGAAUAAGCAAUGAUAUCUUGAUUUAUGCUUGUAUAAGUUUAUUAAAUUUAAGACUUCGCUCAGUUGCCAAUCCAUUUUGUAUAAUUUUUCUGCAAAAACAAUAUGAGAAUGUUUUUGUAUAAUUUAACAAAACCGUCUUAAUACUCGCUCUACUAAAUUUAAUAUUACCGAAAUUAAACUGCCGUCGGUAUAUACAUAUAUAAAUGGGAUCUUCGAAAUUUUCAUACAAAUGAAAACUGAUCAGCCGAAUUGCAGCAGGGUUGAGUAUGGUAACUCCCAAUGAUUGUCAAUGUCAAUAAUUGCGUUAUUGAUAUUUUUAAUACUAAGAAAUAACGUUAGAUUCACUAUGAAAAUAAAAUUAAUUGAGAGUUACAUACACUGAAAAAUUUAAAUGUAUCGUAUAAUGGUCCCUGCUGAGAUCGAUACAUAAAAAAAAAAACAAAAAAUAAAUGGGGAAAAUUGGAGGAACUUUUUGAAAAUUGUAUAGAAGCAAAAGAUGCCGCCUUCGUUUUCACCCCUCCUUUAUAACGGUUGCUGGUUAAGAAGUGACAACGGGGCUCGCCUGAGGAAAUAGCUGAUUGAUUAAUAAAACUACACAUAUGUAUAUGAAAAUUAUAGUAUACUAUAAUUAUUAUAUUCGAUUAACAUUUUGCAGAUCUGUAAAUGGAACUGAAUUAUAUAAGCAUUGCGAUAAAAAAUCCAAGAAUGAUAAUAUUUGGGUUGAACCACCCGAUUCUUCGACCUAUCCGAUAAGCACACCAAAUUUCAUAAAAUCGAUCUAACCGUUUCGGCAACAAACACCGUAACACAAGAGUUUUAUGCACGAUAUAGGAUAUAUUUUAUAAGAUCUCCAACGUUUCCCUCUGGAUGUUAAAAUUUUCUUUAUAAAAUGAAUACAUACAUAUACCUUGGUAGUUGUUGCAGCGGCAGAAAACAUUCCUGAAGGUUCAAGGUUUGCGCUCCAACACGUCAACCGUGGUAAAUUUUUUGUAAAAACAGAUGUUUUCAUUACACAUGUUUUACGAUUUUGUCUCUACUUUGUAUUUUUAUCACCUGCAUGAGUAAUUUUUCAAAAAAACUGUGGAUAUUAUCCCACACAAUCAAUUUGAUACAUAUGUACAUAUGUAGUAUACCUUUUGAGAAGAAAAAUAUUUUCGUUUCCUCUUAAAGACUUUUCACUGCGUUACUGCUCAUAUGAUUCAUACUUUUAUACUCUUACAACAUGUUAAUACAGAGUAUAGUAGUUUUGUUUAUACAAUGGUUAUUUAUAUCACUUAAAACUAGUUGAUAUAGAUAUAGGUAUAAAUAUAUAAAUAGUCAGGAUACCGAGAUGAGUUGAAUUCCGAGUGACCGUCUGUUUGAGUAAAAUUGAGAUAUCAUCACGAAGCUUUAGGUUUAAUGUAUUUAUCCCAAACCAUUCAAGCUAUAUUACCCAAAUUUGCACAGGACAAAUCAUUUCGAUACCUCUAUUCCAUCUAGAAAAACUUUAAAUUCCAUCCAAUUUUUUCACUUUACAGUAUACAAAUCGAGCAUCAAUUAUUAUUACGUAGUCUUUUCGUAUUUCUAAUCUAACUUCAACUUGUUUUUUUUUUAUAUUUAUAAUAAUAAAUAAAUAAACAAAUAUGUAUCAUUUUGGUCGAUUUCUUUUUGCUAUUUUUCCGCCAGAGACAUUAUUCCAUCAGUGUAAAACUUUCAUCAGUGUAAAUCGAAAUUUCCAGAACGGAAGAGAGCGAACCAUUGUUGUGCUACAUGAACUGAUACAGUAUCGUUUCCGUCAACUUCACAUUUCAAAAUGUAACGAAUUUCUUCAUUAUUUUCACUAAUUUUUGAACAGCUGUAACUUUUUCAACUUCCCCGAGUUUAAUCUUUUUUUAGUUAAAUGAAGCUUAAAACUCAUCUUUCCAACACUAAAUGGUAUGACACAAUGUAAUUGGUAGCACUGGAGACGAAAAGACUUUUUCAACUACCCAAUAUUUAGGGAUACAACUUUUCACGAAUAUUGCCUUAUAGGUAUAUUAUCUCAAGUCAAAAAAUUGACAAAAUCGGAUCAAAAUUAUUCCAGCCUCAGAUACCGGAAAUGUGGACUCUAGAACCCAUGACGGACUAUUUAUCGAAACUAUUGAUCAAUGUGUGAGAUAUAAAAGUGAAAUUAAGGGAGAAUUCUAAUAGAAUCGGUUCACUAUUUCCCUUAGCCGCCAUAAACCUGAUACAAAGAUUUUAGGACUUCCGGCUUACUUUAUAUUAUAUAAUAUAUUAUAUAUUUAUAUUAUAUAAUAUGUGUAUACAGCAAAUAUUUAAUUUAUUUUAAUAAAUUUGACAGAAUCUAACAGUGCAUCAUUGUGCUUUAAAUGGAUAAAAUUGGGUAAAAACUUGAACUAGAUUUUAAUCAAAUUAGCUGACGCGAAGAAAAUUAUUGCCGUAAAAAUAAUUGAGUCUAUAACCAAUAACAAUAACUUAAAAUAUACCAAAUUUGACCGUAACCCAUUCACCAUUUUUUCGAAUAUUGAUUGUUGAAUUCUUUUCUUUUUCCUUUUCUUUUUAAUAUUAUAUAAAGUUUUUGAUCCCUGCAUGUUGCAAGAGUAUAAAAUUUUCGGUUACACUCGAGUUUAUUCCAUCCUUACUUAUUAUAUAUGAAUUUGAAUAUGUUUCUGUAUGCAUUUGCCGACGGCUACACGAUUCGUUCAGUUCGUCGAAGUCACUUUGCGGCAUAUCAACAGCAAGCAGGUGCUUAACACCGAAAAUGCGGCUGUCGAUGUUGAUGUUGAUCUUGAAGACAAUUUCUAUGCCGUUCUUUAUCGAUGUUGACUGUGGUUGUCAAAGACAAUAUGAUUGAUCGCGCUUAUUCCCGACGUGCGUGGUUACUACAACUUCAGGAACACCUCUGUAUUAAUUAAAUUUCUUAAUAAUUAGGUAGUUUUGUUACAGUGAUACAUUUACUGACUUUUAACAAAAAAGUAUGUAUAAAGAGUUAUUAGCAUAUGCUAAAAGGGCACUUGGAAUAUAUGUAGAAUCAUGUAGUAGUAUGCACAUAUGUGUAUACACAAAACACUCUGCAAGAUUUUCACAAAAUAAGAAGCUUAAUUUUCUAUAAAUUUUUAUUUAGUAAAUUUGGGGUAAGUAUAUUGUGUAUACUACUGCGAGCAAAAUAUAGUAAGAAUUUUAAAUUUAAAUUUUGCGCGAAAACCCAUUCGUGGAUAUAUAUUUUUUCUAGGUUGAAUAUGUUCAAAAUGUUGGAAAACGGAAAAUUUCUUUUGAUUGGUACAAAUUAUUUAAAGAGGGUCGUGCACGAGGAACCACGUCAUCAACUCGCCAAUAAACUAAAGGUAAGGGAUUCACAAUGAGAUUUUUUACUAGCAUCGAUGGAAUAUAUUUUGAAAUAUCAUUUGGGCAUAAGAAAAAUGAAAGCACGAUUGGAUCCAAAAUUAUUAAAUUUUUUCGAAAACAGCGUCUCAUUAACGUUUGUAAAACAAUGAAUUCCAGCAUGUCAUGAAACGUAUUAUACUGGCGAUUAAUCUUAGAUCUGUGUUUACAGAGGAUCAGUUGGCCGAGUUUCGUUAGCCGAAGCCUAAAAAACCACAUCAAAGCAGGUCAAAAGAUAAGGUUAUUUUGACCAUUUUCUUCGAUUUUCGAGGAGUAGUGCACACCGAACUCCUUCCGACCGGCCAAACUGGCAAUAAAGAAUAGUAUUUCAGAGUUAUGCAUCGUUUUCGCGAAACUACUCGUAAAAAGAGGCCGGAAUUAUGAGCCGAAAACUCUUGGUUUUUGCACCACGACGAAUGCACCGUCACAUACUGCAUUGAUUCUUCGUAAGUUUUUCGCCAAAUUUUCAACUAAUAUCAUGCCGCAAACACCGUAUUCGUCUAAUUGCGCUCCGUGUAACUACCGGCUUUUUUAAAGACUAAAUUCUUCUUCUUCUUCUUCUUUAUUGGCGUAGACACCGCUUACGUGAUUAUAGCUGAGUUAACCUCCAACGGAGUGGAGGUCUUCCUCUUCCUCUGCUUCCGCCGGCGGGUACUGCGUCGAAUACUUUCAGAGUUGGGGUGUUUUCGUCCAUUCGGAAAACAUGACCUAGCCAGCGUAGCCGCUGUCUUUUAAUUCGAUGAACCAUGGCCGGCAUGGACGUCGUUUAUUUCAUACAGCUCAUCGUUUCAUCGAAUGCAAUAUUCCCCGUGGCCAACGAGCAAAGAACCAUAAAUCUUUCACAGAACCUUUCUCUCGAAAACUCGCAACGUCAACUCAUCAGUUGUUGUCAUCGUCCAAGCCUCUGCACCAUAUAUUGUUCGUCGAUAGAGGACUUAACCUCUCAAUUGCCUACUCAGUCCGAAGUAGCACCUGUUGGCAAGAGUUAUCCUGCGGUGGAUUUCUAGGCUGACAUUGUUAGUGGUAUUUAUAUUGGUUCCAAGGUAGACGAAAUUAUCUACGACUUCAAAGUUAUGACUGUCAAUGUGACGAGAGAGCCAAGCCGCGAGUGCGACGACUGUUUGUUUGAUAACAGGAGAUAUUUCGGGAGGAUGGAGUCAUGUGUAGAAGUUCACGCAAGUGAUGAAAGUUCUCUGAUCGCCAUUCACUUGAGAGUGGCCAGAAAGGAUGUAUCCUUUGGUAGCCUAAGAACAUCCGUUUGAAGACGAGCUAAAGUGAGAAAAUGAAACAUCCCCUCCACAGGAUUGUGCGCUGGGUUUGGGACCCGCCACGUAAAAAAACAGUACCAAUGAAAACUAAUCGACAGCCUCUGAUGAGAGACCCCCUUUUUCAUGACGACCAUGGCAAACGAUAUAAAGACUACGAUUUGAGGUCAAGCACCUGGAAUAUCCGAUCCCUUAAUUGGGGAGGUGCUGCUGCCCAGCGGAUUGGUUGAAAGAAUAAAUUAAGAAUUUUAAAACUAUAUAUAAGCAAAGUCUUACUAUCUUUUGCUCAUAGUAGUACUACAUAUUAUAGGAAAUGACGCCGCUUAAGCGUCUGCUUUUUCAAUGUAAUGAUGGCUGCAGAUUGCCAAUGAGGCCUCAAUCUAUUCAAAACAUUAAAAUUUAAUUCUUAAAAAAUAUAUUGUGUAUGAAUUGUAAAAUUUCAAGUAAGAAUAUAACCAUGACGUCAGGGGUGGGAAAGUAAACUUUGACGGAAGAGUACGGGAAACCCCCAGGUACUUAGUUUGUAGCUCGAAGGAUAAAUGAUGACGAUGGUUGCACCAAAUGCAAAAAUCUAGCGAUAAAAUGUUCGAAAAUCAGUGCUAAAUUUACAGAAUUACAACUUUGAUGUUGAUGGUGCUGUCGGAGUAGCCGCCUCGAAGAAAGAAAAGCAUUGCUGGAGCUACAUAUUUCAAAAUUCCUCCAUAGAACAGACGUUAACAUUUCAAAACAAUUCAAAGCUUUAGGUUUAAUGUAUUUAUCCCAAACCAUUGAAACUAUAUUACCCAAAUUUGCACAGGACAAAUCAUUUCGAUACCUCUUGCGAUAAUGCAACUAAAUGCGUCAAAGAAAUUAGAUUUCAUAUUCGGGAUGGUACGAGGUGGCUGAUGGGAAAAUUGAACAACAGGAAUGGCACCGCUCAUGUUUAAGUGAAAUAACAUAUACAUAUAUCUCGGUAUCCACUCGACCAAUUUCUUCCGUAUUUGGUACAUAGUAUUAUUUUAUCAUGUUAAAGUGCGAAAAUGGGCGAAAUUAAACUGCAAUCACGCCUAUAUCCCAUCUAGAACAACUUUAAAUUCCAUCCAAUUUUUUCACUUGCAAAAACACUUACUCUCUUGUUUAUCGCGCCUUUUUAGUAAACAAAGAAACUGCUGAUGAAAUAGAAAUUUUGUCAGACACUUCAGAUGGAGAAGAAGUCAGCCAGGAACCCAAAGUGACAUAUGCGGAAGCAAUUCAAAGCGUAAACAACUUGAUCCACUGGUUUAAAAAUGAAAACGAUGCAAAUCAGGUGUCAGACUUUUUGAAUUGUCGUACAAAAAUGGUCAGAAAAUAUAUUGCAAAAGAAAAAAAAACAAAAGAAUAUUCAAGAUUUUUUCUCUUCAUAGUAAAUACAUAUGUAUGUAUGUAAAUGUGAAUAUGUUUUUCAUGUAAAUCCAUAUGUUUUAGUGAAGCAAAUAAAUGAAUGAAUUUUUUAAGUUUAAAAAUGCAUUUAAUAUUAUAAAAACAGAUAAUUUAUGUAUAUAUUUGGAAAAGUAAAUUAUUCGAAAAAGGAAAUUACCCAAAACACCAAUCGAUUUACUUUUCGAGA